This 1442-nucleotide ribosomal RNA is filed under the name Salmonella enterica subsp. enterica. RNAcentral's name for it is "bacterial SSU rRNA". It matches the Rfam family "Bacterial small subunit ribosomal RNA". The record is from RNAcentral. Lineage: Bacteria; Pseudomonadati; Pseudomonadota; Gammaproteobacteria; Enterobacterales; Enterobacteriaceae.
AAAUUGAAGAGUUUGAUCAUGGCUCAGAUUGAACGCUGGCGGCAGGCCUAACACAUGCAAGUCGAACGGUAACAGGAAGCAGCUUGCUGCUUUGCUGACGAGUGGCGGACGGGUGAGUAAUGUCUGGGAAACUGCCUGAUGGAGGGGGAUAACUACUGGAAACGGUGGCUAAUACCGCAUAAUGUCGCAAGACCAAAGAGGGGGACCUUCGGGCCUCUUGCCAUCAGAUGUGCCCAGAUGGGAUUAGCUUGUUGGUGAGGUAACGGCUCACCAAGGCGACGAUCCCUAGCUGGUCUGAGAGGAUGACCAGCCACACUGGAACUGAGACACGGUCCAGACUCCUACGGGAGGCAGCAGUGGGGAAUAUUGCACAAUGGGCGCAAGCCUGAUGCAGCCAUGCCGCGUGUAUGAAGAAGGCCUUCGGGUUGUAAAGUACUUUCAGCGGGGAGGAAGGUGUUGCGGUUAAUAACCGCAGCAAUUGACGUUACCCGCAGAAGAAGCACCGGCUAACUCCGUGCCAGCAGCCGCGGUAAUACGGAGGGUGCAAGCGUUAAUCGGAAUUACUGGGCGUAAAGCGCACGCAGGCGGUCUGUCAAGUCGGAUGUGAAAUCCCCGGGCUCAACCUGGGAACUGCAUUCGAAACUGGCAGGCUUGAGUCUUGUAGAGGGGGGUAGAAUUCCAGGUGUAGCGGUGAAAUGCGUAGAGAUCUGGAGGAAUACCGGUGGCGAAGGCGGCCCCCUGGACAAAGACUGACGCUCAGGUGCGAAAGCGUGGGGAGCAAACAGGAUUAGAUACCCUGGUAGUCCACGCCGUAAACGAUGUCUACUUGGAGGUUGUGCCCUUGAGGCGUGGCUUCCGGAGCUAACGCGUUAAGUAGACCGCCUGGGGAGUACGGCCGCAAGGUUAAAACUCAAAUGAAUUGACGGGGGCCCGCACAAGCGGUGGAGCAUGUGGUUUAAUUCGAUGCAACGCGAAGAACCUUACCUGGUCUUGACAUCCACAGAACUUUCCAGAGAUGGAUUGGUGCCUUCGGGAACUGUGAGACAGGUGCUGCAUGGCUGUCGUCAGCUCGUGUUGUGAAAUGUUGGGUUAAGUCCCGCAACGAGCGCAACCCUUAUCCUUUGUUGCCAGCGGUCCGGCCGGGAACUCAAAGGAGACUGCCAGUGAUAAACUGGAGGAAGGUGGGGAUGACGUCAAGUCAUCAUGGCCCUUACGACCAGGGCUACACACGUGCUACAAUGGCGCAUACAAAGAGAAGCGACCUCGCGAGAGCAAGCGGACCUCAUAAAGUGCGUCGUAGUCCGGAUUGGAGUCUGCAACUCGACUCCAUGAAGUCGGAAUCGCUAGUAAUCGUGGAUCAGAAUGCCACGGUGAAUACGUUCCCGGGCCUUGUACACACCGCCCGUCACACCAUGGGAGUGGGUUGCAAAAGAAGUAGGUAG